GUAGGUGAACCUGCGGAAGGAUCAUUAGAGACGGGCCCGCGGCACCGGCGACACCCGCCGGUAUCGCGCGCGCCUCAUCCGACCCCGUGGCCGCGUGCGCCGCGACCCCCGACCGAGCGUCGACCGAAAGAUGGUUACACCGUCGAAAGACCGUCCGCGGACCACGGGAAAAAUUUCGACGAAAACAAAAAAAGAAAAAAAAACACCCGACCCCGAACGGCGGAUCACUUGGCUCGUGCAUCGAUGAAGA
Molecule: unclassified non-coding RNA, 250 nt
Filed under: plant metagenome
Description: partial contains small subunit ribosomal RNA, internal transcribed spacer 1, and 5.8S ribosomal RNA
Source: RNAcentral